RNAcentral lists this ribosomal RNA (414 nucleotides) under uncultured microorganism. Its description in RNAcentral is "bacterial SSU rRNA". It matches the Rfam family "Archaeal small subunit ribosomal RNA", at positions 459 to 872 of the family's 1478-position model. The record is from RNAcentral.
CAGCCGCCGCGGUAAUACCGGCGGCCCGAGUGGCGGUCACUAUUAUUGGGCUUAAAGCGUCCGUAGCCGGGUUGGGAAGUCCUCCGGGAAAUCUGGCCGCUUAACGGUCAGAAUGCCGGAGGAUACUCCCAGCCUAGGGAGCGGGAGAGGCCGAGGGUAUUCCCGGAGUAGGGGUGAAAUCCUAUAAUCCCGGGAGGACCACCUGUGGCGAAGGCGCUCGGCUGGAACGCGUCCGACGGUGAGGGACGAAGGCCAGGGGAGCAAACCGGAUUAGAUACCCGGGUAGUCCCGGCUGUAAACGAUGCGGGCUAGCUGUUGGGUGGGCUUAGAGCCCACCCAGUGGCGCAGGGAAGCCGUUAAGCCCGCCGCCUGGGGAGUACGGCCGCAAGGCUGAAACUUAAAGGAAUUGGCGGG